UACGUAGGGGGCGAGCGUUGUCCGGAUUUAUUGGGCGUAAAGAGCGUGUAGGCGGCCAGGUAGGUCUGCUGUGAAAACUCGGAGGCUCAACCUCGAGACGUCGGGCGGAAACCAUCUGGCUAGAGUCCGGAAGAGGAGAGUGGAAUUCCUGGUGUAGCGGUGAAAUGCGCAGAUAUCAGGAAGAACACCCGUGGCGAAGGCGGCUCUCUGGGACGGUACUGACGCUGAGACGCGAAAGCGUGGGGAGCGAACAGG
RNAcentral lists this ribosomal RNA (255 nucleotides) under uncultured bacterium. RNAcentral describes it as "partial 16S ribosomal RNA". It matches the Rfam family "Bacterial small subunit ribosomal RNA", at positions 524 to 776 of the family's 1533-position model. The record is from RNAcentral.